This 436-nucleotide ribosomal RNA is filed under the name uncultured bacterium. RNAcentral describes it as "bacterial SSU rRNA". It matches the Rfam family "Bacterial small subunit ribosomal RNA", at positions 39 to 471 of the family's 1533-position model. The record is from RNAcentral.
GAAUUCGAUUCAGGCCUAACACAUGCAAGUCGAACGGUAACGCGGGGCAACCUGGCGACGAGUGGCGAACGGGUGAGUAAUGCAUCGGAACGUGCCCAGUAGUGGGGGAUAGCCCGGCGAAAGCCGGAUUAAUACCGCAUACGACCUACGGGUGAAAGGGGGGGAUCGCAAGACCUCUCGCUAUUGGAGCGGCCGAUGUCAGAUUAGGUAGUUGGUGGGGUAAAGGCCUACCAAGCCGACGAUCUGUAGCUGGUCUGAGAGGACGACCAGCCACACUGGGACUGAGACACGGCCCAGACUCCUACGGGAGGCAGCAGUGGGGAAUUUUGGACAAUGGGCGCAAGCCUGAUCCAGCCAAAGCGCAUGCGGGAAGAAGGCCUUCGGGUGUAAACCUUAAUGGCAGGGAAGAAAUCUUCUGAGUUAAUACCUCGGGAGG